Molecule: ribosomal RNA, 372 nt
Filed under: uncultured bacterium
Lineage: Bacteria
Description: bacterial SSU rRNA
Rfam family: Bacterial small subunit ribosomal RNA
Source: RNAcentral
GGAGGGUGCUAACGUUGCUCGGAAUUACUGGGCGUAAAGGGAGCGCAGGCGGAUUUGUAAGUCAGGCGUGAAAGCCCAAGGCUCAACCUUGGACGUGCGCUUGAAACUGCGAGUCUAGAGUGCAGCAGAGAGAAGCGGAAUUCCUGGUGUAGCGGUGAAAUGCGUUGAUAUCAGGAGGAACACCUGUAGCGAAGGCGGCUUCUUGGGCUGUUACUGACGCUCAUGCUCGAAAGCGUCGGGGAUCAAACAGGAUUAGAUACCCUGGUAGUCCACGCCCUAAACGAUGAGUACUCGAUGUCGAGGGAGUUAACCCCCCCGGUAUCUAAGCUAACGCGUUAAGUACUCCGCCUGGGGACUACGGCCGCAAGGCUA